AAAGGGCUAGUUAAUAUAUAAUAUAAACUUGUCGAGUUUAAGUUACCCAAUGGUGCUCUUUU
RNAcentral lists this transfer RNA (62 nucleotides) under Margaritifera margaritifera (freshwater pearlshell mussel). Its description in RNAcentral is "tRNA-Asp". The record is from RNAcentral. Lineage: Eukaryota; Metazoa; Mollusca; Bivalvia; Unionida; Margaritiferidae.